GCUGUGCGGUCAGGUCCAGCCGCGGCAGGAUGAUGUACUCGGAAAGGAUCAGGAUGGGCACCGCCAGCACAAAGCGUGCGUGCACCGCG
Molecule: unclassified non-coding RNA, 89 nt
Filed under: fungal sp.
Lineage: Eukaryota; Fungi
Description: partial internal transcribed spacer region
Source: RNAcentral